AGGCCUAACACAUGCAAGUCGAACGGUAACAGGGAUUGCUUGCAAUCCGCUGACGAGUGGCGCACGGGUGCGUAACGCGUAUGCAAUCUGCCUAUAACUGAGGAAUAGCCCAGAGAAAUUUGGAUUAAUACCUCAUAACAUUGUUUUUUGGCAUCAUUAAACAAUUAAAACUUCGGUGGUUAUAGAUGAGCAUGCGUCCUAUUAGCUUGUUGGUAAGGUAACGGCUUACCAAGGCAACGAUAGGUAGGGGGCCUGAAAGGGUGAUCCCCCACACUGGUACUGAGACACGGACCAGACUCCUACGGGAGGCAGCAGUGAGGAAUAUUGCGCAAUGGAGGAAACUCUGACGCAGCCAUGCCGCGUGCAGGAAGACGGCCCUACGGGUUGUAAACUGCUUUUAUAUAGGAAGAAACCCCGAUACGUGUAUCGGC
Molecule: ribosomal RNA, 431 nt
Filed under: uncultured bacterium
Lineage: Bacteria
Description: bacterial SSU rRNA
Rfam family: Bacterial small subunit ribosomal RNA
Source: RNAcentral